UACGUAGGGUCCGAGCGUUGUCCGGAAUUAUUGGGCGUAAAGGGCUCGUAGGCGGUCCGUCGCGUCGGGAGUGAAAACCUCGGAGGCUUAACUCCGAGCCUGCUUCCGAUACGGGGCAGACUAGAGGUAGGCAGGGGAGAGCGGAAACUCCUGGUGUAGCGGUGGAAUGCGCAGAUAUCAGGAAGAACACCGGUGGCGAAGGCGGCUCUCUGGGCCUUACCUGACGCUGAGGAGCGAAAGCCGUGGGUAGCGAACAGG
Molecule: ribosomal RNA, 258 nt
Filed under: uncultured bacterium
Lineage: Bacteria
Description: partial 16S ribosomal RNA
Rfam family: Bacterial small subunit ribosomal RNA
Source: RNAcentral